ACGCAGCCCACCUCUCCCGACGAUCCGGGUCCUCCCGCCCUUCGCGGUGAUUCUGUCGCGAACCCUCUCACGGCAGCUAUGAGACUGCUGCGCUCCCCAGACGAGGAAACCUGGUCUCCCGGAGCCAGGUGGAGUCUCGCUCUGUCGCCCAGGCUGGAGUGCGGUGGCGCGAUCUCGGCUCACUGCAAGCUCCGCCUCCCGGGUUCACGCCAUUCUCCUGCCUCAGCCUCCCGAGUAGCUGGGACUACAGGUGCCCGCCACCGCGCCCGGCUAAUUUUUUGUAUUUUUAGUAGAGACGGGGUUUCACCAAGUUAGCCAGGAUGGUGUCGAUCUCCUGACCUCGUGAUCCGCCCGCCUCGGCCUCCUACAGUGCUGGGAUUACAAGCAGUCUUGCUCUGUCGCCCAGGCUGGAGUGCAGUGGCGCGAUCUCGGCUCACUACAACCUCUGCCUCCCAGGUUCAAGUGAUUCUCCUGCCUCAGCCUCCUGAGUAGCUGGGAUUACAGAAUUUUUCCUUAAAAGUGGGGCAACAGAAAUUAUUUCCUGUCCAGCGUCCUAUUUCAAGGAACCUGGUGCGUUUCUACUCAUCGAAGCUGGUCUCUCUAGCAGGAUGCAAUCUGGCUGCUUCGUCCUGCUUUAAAGCAACUUUAAUUUACUUGAUUAAAAGUAUGCCUAUGCUCAGCACGUCUCACAAAGUCAGGGAGAGACAUUCAUGAAGAGUUUCCCUUUGAAAUAAAAUAUUCAGAUUUUGUUUCCC
Long non-coding RNA from Homo sapiens (human), 755 nucleotides. The record is from Ensembl. Lineage: Eukaryota; Metazoa; Chordata; Mammalia; Primates; Hominidae.